GACGAACGCUGGCGGCGUGCUUAACACAUGCAAGUCGAUCGGAAAGGCCCUGCUUGCAGGGUACUCGAGUGGCGAACGGGUGAGUAACACGUGGGUGAUCUGCCCUGCACUUCGGGAUAAGCCUGGGAAACUGGGUCUAAUACCGGAUAGGAGCCAUUUUUAGUGUGAUGGUUGGAAAGUUUUUUCGGUGUAGGAUGAGCUCGCGGCCUAUCAGCUUGUUGGUGGGGUAAUGGCCUACCAAGGCGGCGACGGGUAGCCGGCCUGAGAGGGUGGACGGCCACAUUGGGACUGAGAUACGGCCCAGACUCCUACGGGAGGCAGCAGUGGGGAAUAUUGCACAAUGGGCGCAAGCCUGAUGCAGCGACGCCGCGUGGGGGAUGACGGCCUUCGGGUUGUAAACUCCUUUCGCUAGGGACGAAGCUUUUUGUGACGGUACCUAGAUAAGAAGCACCGGCUAACUACGUG
Molecule: ribosomal RNA, 465 nt
Filed under: uncultured bacterium
Lineage: Bacteria
Description: partial 16S ribosomal RNA
Rfam family: Bacterial small subunit ribosomal RNA
Source: RNAcentral